Long non-coding RNA from Oreochromis niloticus (Nile tilapia), 347 nucleotides. RefSeq lists it as uncharacterized. The record is from RefSeq and is a predicted model, not a curated record. The transcript has 2 exons. Lineage: Eukaryota; Metazoa; Chordata; Actinopteri; Cichliformes; Cichlidae.
GCAGUAACUGUGAGAUGCAGGGGAGCAGGACAUUGAGAGCACCGGCCACACUGCCUGCAACCACAGCUAGGACCUGAGAGAAAGCCUGCAGAGGGAGGUUUGUUUCAGACAACAGUGAGGGCUAAUGUGGUAAUAAAACCUGAUCAUGUACACACAAGUUGAAAACUGGAAGCCGGGAAUCCGCUCCAAGUAAACCGGACUACUUCUUACCUUCUGCACCGACAGCAGCGUCUGUUCUCCGACCACCCUGCCCAGGUAGGUCGUGCCCUGCUCGGCCAAGUCAGCCAGGUUGUCCCGGAGUUCCUGCAUGGUCUCCGGUAGCGUCUCAAACACCGUCUCCCCCUAAA